Molecule: ribosomal RNA, 467 nt
Filed under: uncultured bacterium
Lineage: Bacteria
Description: partial 16S ribosomal RNA
Rfam family: Bacterial small subunit ribosomal RNA
Source: RNAcentral
ACGAACGCUGGCGGCGUGCUUAACACAUGCAAGUCGAACGGAAAGGCCCUGCUUUUGUGGGGUGCUCGAGUGGCGAACGGGGGAGUAACACGUGAGUAACCUGCCCUUGACUUUGGGAUAACUUCAGGAAACUGGGGCUAAUACCGGAUAGGAGCUCCUGCUGCAUGGGGGGGGUUGGAAAGUUUCGGCGGUUGGGGAUGGACUCGCGGCUUAUCAGCUUGGUGGUGGGGUAGUGGCUUACCAAGGCUUUGACGGGUAGCCGGCCUGAGAGGGUGACCGGCCACAUUGGGACUGAGAUACGGCCCAGACUCCUACGGGAGGCAGCAGUGGGGAAUAUUGCACAAUGGGCGGAAGCCUGAUGCAGCAACGCCGCGUGCGGGAUGACGGCCUUCGGGUUGUAAACCGCUUUCGCCUGUGACGAAGCGUGAGUGACGGUAAUGGGUAAAGAAGCACCGGCUAACUACGUG